UACGUAGGGGGCAAGCGUUAUCCGGAUUUACUGGGUGUAAAGGGAGCGUAGACGGCAUGGCAAGUCUGAAGUGAAAGCCCGGGGCUCAACCGCGGGACUGCUUUGGAAACUGUGUGACUGGAGUGCAGGAGAGGUAAGUGGAAUUCCUAGUGUAGCGGUGAAAUGCGUAGAUAUUAGGAGGAACACCAGUGGCGAAGGCGGCUUACUGGACUGUAACUGACGUUGAGGCUCGAAAGCGUGGGGAGCAAACAGGAUUAGAUACCCCGGUAGUCC
This 273-nucleotide ribosomal RNA is filed under the name uncultured bacterium. RNAcentral's name for it is "partial 16S ribosomal RNA". It matches the Rfam family "Bacterial small subunit ribosomal RNA", at positions 524 to 796 of the family's 1533-position model. The record is from RNAcentral.